RNAcentral lists this ribosomal RNA (250 nucleotides) under uncultured bacterium. Its description in RNAcentral is "partial 16S ribosomal RNA". It matches the Rfam family "Bacterial small subunit ribosomal RNA", at positions 524 to 773 of the family's 1533-position model. The record is from RNAcentral.
UACAGAGGGUGCGAGCGUUGAUCGGAUUUACUGGGCGUAAAGGGCGCGUAGGCGGUUAUAUGAGUGUGGUGUGAAAGCCCCGGGCUUAACCUGGGAAGAGCAUCGCAAACGAUAUAACUGGAGUAGAUGAGAGGGUGAUGGAAUUUCCGGUGUAGCGGUGAAAUGCGUAGAUAUCGGAAAGAACGUCGAUGGCGAAGGCAGUCACCUGGCAUCAUACUGACGCUGAGGCGCGAAAGCGUGGGGAGCGAAC